RNAcentral lists this transfer RNA (72 nucleotides) under Chelonia mydas (Green sea turtle). It matches the Rfam family "tRNA". Rfam says of the family: Transfer RNA (tRNA) molecules are approximately 80 nucleotides in length. Their secondary structure includes four short double-helical elements and three loops (D, anti-codon, and T loops). Further hydrogen bonds mediate the characteristic L-shaped molecular structure. tRNAs have two regions of fundamental functional importance: the anti-codon, which is responsible for specific mRNA codon recognition, and the 3' end, to which the tRNAs corresponding amino acid is attached (by aminoacyl-tRNA synthetases). tRNAs cope with the degeneracy of the genetic code in two manners: having more than one tRNA (with a specific anti-codon) for a particular amino acid; and 'wobble' base-pairing, i.e. permitting non-standard base-pairing at the 3rd anti-codon position. The record is from Rfam by way of RNAcentral. Lineage: Eukaryota; Metazoa; Chordata; Testudines; Cheloniidae.
GGAAGGAUGGUCCAGUGGUUAGGGCACUAACCUGGGACUCUGGAGACUUGGGUUCAAUUCCCUGCUUUUUCA